UACGAGGGGGGCAAAUGUUGUUCGGAAUCACUGGGCGUAAAGGGAGCGUAGGCGGGUUCUUAAGUUAGGUGUUUAAUCCCGGGGCUCAACCCCGGAACUGCCUUCGAUACUGGGUAUCUUGAGUUCGGAAGAGGUGAGUGGAAUUGCGAGUGUAGAGGUGAAAUUCGUAGAUAUUCGCAGGAACAUCGGUGGCGAAGGCGCUCUACUGGACCACAACUGACACUCAGGGACGAAAGCUAGGGGAGCGAAUGGG
This 253-nucleotide ribosomal RNA is filed under the name uncultured bacterium. RNAcentral's name for it is "partial 16S ribosomal RNA". It matches the Rfam family "Bacterial small subunit ribosomal RNA", at positions 524 to 776 of the family's 1533-position model. The record is from RNAcentral.